Molecule: ribosomal RNA, 479 nt
Filed under: uncultured bacterium
Lineage: Bacteria
Description: SSU rRNA
Rfam family: Bacterial small subunit ribosomal RNA
Source: RNAcentral
GGGAUGAACGCUGGCGGCGUGCUUAACACAUGCAAGUCGAACGGAGGAGCGAUUUCGGUUGCUCUUCAGUGGCGCACGGGUGAGUAACACGUAGCUGACCUGCCCUUGAGAGUGGGAUAACGGGUCGAAAGACCUGCUAAUACCGCAUAAGCUCCCGCGUUUUAGAGGUGUGGGAGAAAAGGCGUGCAAACGCCGCUUGAGGAGGGGGCUGCGGACCAUCAGCUAGUUGGUGGGGUAACGGCCUACCAAGGCGACGACGGGUAGGGGGCCUGAGAGGGUGGUCCCCCACACUGGGACUGAGACACGGCCCAGACUCCUACGGGAGGCAGCAGUGAGGAAUAUUGCGCAAUGGGCGAAAGCCUGACGCAGCGACGCCGCGUGGGUGAGGAAGGCCUUCGGGUCGUAAAGCCCUUUUCUGCGUGACGAGAGAGGACGGUAGCGCAGGAACAAGUCUCGGCUAACUACGUGCCAGCAGCCGC